GUCCGUGAAGAACUGCAUCUGGCAAAUGAUGCUUUUAUACGUAUGUUUAUGCACAUCAUAUGAUAUCCAGUGUCCUCAUUCUUCACAAUGGAAUGUAAAAGCUCUACAUGAUUGCAAUGCCACAUCACAGUAUUAUUGUUUGUUUGAUGAAAACAGACUCAAGUACACAGAAUUUUGUAGAGAAAAUCAAGAUUUUGAAGGACCAGGAUUCAAGCUGGUACUUCGUGGUGGUUUAGAUGGGAAAUUGUGCGCCUCUUACCGAUAUCAGCCAUUUAUAUUUUGGACAAACGGAAGCAGUCAAUGCACAUUUCAAAAGUCGUUAUGCAG
This is a long non-coding RNA of Mytilus trossulus (common blue mussel), 327 nucleotides long. RefSeq lists it as uncharacterized. The transcript is spliced from 3 exons. The record is from RefSeq and is a predicted model, not a curated record. NCBI's taxonomy places the organism in Eukaryota, Metazoa, Mollusca, Bivalvia, Mytilida, Mytilidae.